This 406-nucleotide ribosomal RNA is filed under the name uncultured bacterium. RNAcentral describes it as "partial 16S ribosomal RNA". It matches the Rfam family "Bacterial small subunit ribosomal RNA", at positions 30 to 526 of the family's 1533-position model. The record is from RNAcentral.
AUUGAACGCUGGCGGCAGGCCUAACACAUGCAAGUCGAGCGAGCGGCGGCCGGGUGAGUAAUGUCUGGGAAACUGCCUGCUGGAGGGGGAUAACUCCUGGAAACGGUAGCUAAUACCGCAUACCAUCAGAUGUGCCCAGAUGGGAUUAGCUCGUAGGGGGGGUAACGCCUCACAUAGGCGACGCUCCCUAGCUGGUCUGAGAGGAUGACCAGCCACACUGGAACUGAGACACGGUCCAGACUCCUACGGUAGGCAGCAGUGGGGAAUAUUGCACAAUGGGCGCAAGCCUGAUGCAGCCAUGCCGCGUGUGUGAAGAAGGCCUUCGGGUUGUAAAGCACUUUCAGCGGGGAGGCGUUACCCGCAGAAGAAGCACCGGCUAACUCCGUGCCAGCAGCCGCGGUAAUUC